GCGCCCGUAGCUUAGUCCGGAUAAAGCGUCUGGUUGCGGUCCAGGAGAUCGCAGGUUCGAAUCCUGCCGGGCGCACCA
Molecule: transfer RNA, 78 nt
Filed under: Patescibacteria group bacterium
Lineage: Bacteria
Description: tRNA-Arg
Rfam family: tRNA
About the family: Transfer RNA (tRNA) molecules are approximately 80 nucleotides in length. Their secondary structure includes four short double-helical elements and three loops (D, anti-codon, and T loops).
Source: RNAcentral